GCGGCGCGCGCAGCGCAAUCAGCCCGAUCCGUUCCAGGCCGAACGCGAUACUGAAGUUCUUUUUUCCGGAAUCGCUGUGAACGGGCUCUUUUGAAAUCUGGUGCAACGGGACAGUUCCGAUUCGAAGGUAAGCCGACGUUUUAUCUAGCAGAUUUACAGCCCGCCAAAUAAAGCAGCAUUAAGUAGCCUUUGCGACACACCUCACCGGUUCGGCGCAAACCUGGCCGGAACACGACACUGCCGGUCGGCCAGAAUUUGCCCCAAAAUGCGGCAAAACCCGGCCGUCUGCUCCCGCCCGGCCUGACGUUGAAUACGGGGUUUGGGGCUAGGCCCC
This 334-nucleotide unclassified non-coding RNA is filed under the name Hevea brasiliensis (rubber tree). Lineage: Eukaryota; Viridiplantae; Streptophyta; Magnoliopsida; Malpighiales; Euphorbiaceae. The record is from RNAcentral.